RNAcentral lists this ribosomal RNA (253 nucleotides) under uncultured prokaryote. RNAcentral describes it as "partial 16S ribosomal RNA". It matches the Rfam family "Bacterial small subunit ribosomal RNA", at positions 525 to 777 of the family's 1533-position model. The record is from RNAcentral.
ACGGAGGGUGCAAGCGUUAAUCGGAAUUACUGGGCGUAAAGCGCACGCAGGUGGCUGAGUCAGUCGAUUGUGAAAGCCCUGGGCUUAACCUGGGAAUUGCAGUCGAUACUACUCAGCUAGAGUAUGGGAGAGGGUAGUGGAAUUCCAGGUGUAGCGGUGAAAUGCGUAGAUAUCUGGAGGAACACCGGUGGCGAAGGCGGCAUCCUGGACCGGUAUUGACGCUGAGGCGCGAAAGCUAGGGGAGCAAACGGGA